This 390-nucleotide ribosomal RNA is filed under the name Eukaryota sp. Its description in RNAcentral is "SSU rRNA". It matches the Rfam family "Eukaryotic small subunit ribosomal RNA", at positions 828 to 1220 of the family's 1831-position model. The record is from RNAcentral.
CCUCGGUUUUAUUUUGUUGGUUUCUAAAACCGAAGUAAUGAUUAAUAGGGAUAGUUGGGGGCAUUAGUAUUUAAUUGUCAGAGGUGAAAUUCUUGGAUUUAUGAAAGACUAACUUCUGCGAAAGCAUUUGCCAAGGAUGUUUUCAUUAAUCAAGAACGAAAGUUAGGGGAUCGAAGACGAUUAGAUACCGUCGUAGUCUUAACCAUAAACUAUGCCGACUAGGGAUCGGGGGAAUGCGUUUCGCAUCCCUCGGCACCUUAUGAGAAAUCAAAGUUUUUGGGUUCCGGGGGGAGUAUGGUCGCAAGGCUGAAACUUAAAGGAAUUGACGGAAGGGCACCACCAGGGGUGGAGCCUGCGGCUUAAUUUGACUCAACACGGGGAAACUCACCA